AUUCCAGCCUUGAGGCAGCCAGAAAUAACCUCAACGGAUCGAGACUUAGGACCUAGAGUCCCCACAAUCUUCGUCAUUGCUGGAAAGAAACUAGCUUUUGAUGGCUCCAGGAUUGAAGCCAUCCUUAUCGGCUCCUCGAGAAGCAAAUGACUCGCAUGCAUCUUCGCGGAUUAAUAACGAAAUAAAUAACAAAAAUACAACAAAAAAAUGGAAUUGGGUAAGAACAAAAUUGAACUGAGAUUUAGUGUUUGGCGUGAAUCGAGCGCAGCAGCUGAAGCUCUUGGCUUUUGAUUUGCUUAUAGUCCCUCCUGACCUUCGAAUAUGCUCUCGCGUAAAUGCUGCUUUUAAAAACC
RNAcentral lists this unclassified non-coding RNA (353 nucleotides) under Hevea brasiliensis (rubber tree). Lineage: Eukaryota; Viridiplantae; Streptophyta; Magnoliopsida; Malpighiales; Euphorbiaceae. The record is from RNAcentral.